RNAcentral lists this ribosomal RNA (490 nucleotides) under uncultured bacterium. Its description in RNAcentral is "partial 16S ribosomal RNA". It matches the Rfam family "Bacterial small subunit ribosomal RNA", at positions 30 to 507 of the family's 1533-position model. The record is from RNAcentral.
AUUGAACGCUGGCGGCAGGCCUAACACAUGCAAGUCGAACGGUAACAGGAAGAAGCUUGCUUCUUUGCUGACGAGUGGCGGACGGGUGAGUAAUGUCUGGGAAACUGCCUGAUGGAGGGGGAUAACUACUGGAAACGGUAGCUAAUACCGCAUAACGUCGCAAGACCAAAGAGGGGGACCCUCGGGCCUCUCGCCAUCGCAUGUGCCCAGAUGGGAUUAGCUAGUAGGUGGGGUAACGGCUCACCUAGGCGACGAUCCCUAGCUGGUCUGAGAGGAUGACCAGCCACACUGGAACUGAGACACGGUCCAGACUCCUACGGGAGGCAGCAGUGGGGAAUAUUGCACAAUGGGCGCAAGCCUGAUGCAGCCAUGCCGCGUGUAUGAAGAAGGCCUUCGGGUUGUAAAGUACUUUCAGCGGGGAGGAAGGGAGUAAAGUUAAUACCUUUGCUCAUUGACGUUACCCGCAGAAGAAGCACCGGCUAACUCCGUG